CCUACGGGAGGCAGCAGUGGGGAAUAUUGGACAAUGGGGGCAACCCUGAUCCAGCCAUGCCGCGUGUGUGAAGAAGGCCCUCGGGUUGUAAAGCACUUUCAGUGAGGAAGAACGCCUGGUGGUUAAUACCCAUCAGGAAAGACAUCACUCACAGAAGAAGCACCGGCUAACUCCGUGCCAGCAGCCGCGGUAAUACGGAUGGUGCGAGCGUUAAUCGGAAUUACUGGGCGUAAAGCGCGCGUAGGUGGCUUGAUAAGCCGGUUGUGAAAGCCCCGGGCUCAACCUGGGAACGGCAUCCGGAACUGUCAAGCUAGAGUGCAGGAGAGGAAGGUAGAAUUCCAGGUGUAGCGGUGAAAUGCGUAGAGAUCGGGAGGAAUACCAGUGGCGAAGGCGGCCUUCUGGACUGACACUGACACUGAGGUGCGAAAGCGUGGGGAGCAAACAGGAUUAGAUACCCUUGUAGUC
This 465-nucleotide ribosomal RNA is filed under the name Vreelandella stevensii. Its description in RNAcentral is "partial 16S ribosomal RNA". It matches the Rfam family "Bacterial small subunit ribosomal RNA", at positions 338 to 795 of the family's 1533-position model. Lineage: Bacteria; Pseudomonadati; Pseudomonadota; Gammaproteobacteria; Oceanospirillales; Halomonadaceae. The record is from RNAcentral.